Molecule: ribosomal RNA, 501 nt
Filed under: uncultured bacterium
Lineage: Bacteria
Description: partial 16S ribosomal RNA
Rfam family: Bacterial small subunit ribosomal RNA
Source: RNAcentral
AUUGAACGCUGGCGGCAUGCCUUACACAUGCAAGUCGAACGGCAGCACGGGUGCUCGCACCUGGUGGCGAGUGGCGAACGGGUGAGUAAUACAUCGGAACGUACCUUAUCGUGGGGGAUAACGCAGCGAAAGCUGUGCUAAUACCGCAUACGCCCUGAGGGGGAAAGCGGGGGAUCGAAAGACCUCGCGCGAUUAGAGCGGCCGAUGCCUGAUUAGCUUGUUGGUGGGGUAAAAGCCCACCAAGGCGACGAUCAGUAGCUGGUCUGAGAGGACGAUCAGCCACACUGGGACUGAGACACGGCCCAGACUCCGACGGGAGGCAGCAGUGGGGAAUUUUGGACAAUGGGGGCAACCCUGAUCCAGCAAUGCCGCGUGAGUGAAGAAGGCCUUCGGGUUGUAAAGCUCUUUUGUCAGGGAAGAAACACCGGCUCUAACACAGUCCGGGAAUGACGGUACCUGAAGAAUAAGCACCGGCUAACUACGUGCCAGCCGCCGCGGUAA